GACGAACGCUGGCGGCGUGCUUAACACAUGCAAGUCGAACGGAAAGGCCCUGCUUUUGUGGGGUGCUCGAGUGGCGAACGGGUGAGUAACACGUGAGUAACCUGCCCUUGACUUUGGGAUAACUUCAGGAAACUGGGGCUAAUACCGGAUAGGAGCUCCUGCUGCAUGGUGGGGGUUGGAAAGUUUCGGCGGUGGGGGAUGGACUCGCGGCUUAUCAGCUUGUUGGUGGGGUAGUGGCUUACCAAGGCUUUGACGGGUAGCCGGCCUGAGAGGGUGACCGGCCACCUUGGGACUGAGAGACGGCCCAGACUCCUACGGGAGGCAGCAGGGGGGAGUAUUGCACAAUGGGCGGAAGCCUGAUGCAGCAACGCCGCGUGCGGGAUGCCGGCCUUCGGGUUGUAAACCGCUUUCGCCUGUGACGAAGCGUGAGUGACGGUAAUGGGUAAAGAAGCACCGGCUAACUACGUG
RNAcentral lists this ribosomal RNA (468 nucleotides) under uncultured bacterium. RNAcentral describes it as "partial 16S ribosomal RNA". It matches the Rfam family "Bacterial small subunit ribosomal RNA", at positions 28 to 507 of the family's 1533-position model. The record is from RNAcentral.